Molecule: ribosomal RNA, 598 nt
Filed under: uncultured bacterium
Lineage: Bacteria
Description: bacterial SSU rRNA
Rfam family: Bacterial small subunit ribosomal RNA (bases 1-512)
Source: RNAcentral
CCUACGGGAGGCAGCAGUGGGGAAUCUUAGACAAUGGGGGAAACCCUGAUCUAGCCAUGCCGCGUGAUCGAUGAAGGCCUUAGGGUUGUAAAGAUCUUUCAGUUGGGAAGAUAAUGACGGUACCAACAGAAGAAGCCCCGGCUAACUCCGUGCCAGCAGCCGCGGUAAUACGGAGGGGGCUAGCGUUAUUCGGAAUUACUGGGCGUAAAGCGCACGUAGGCGGAUUAGAAAGUCAGAGGUGAAAUCCCAGGGCUCAACCUUGGAACUGCCUUUGAAACUCCUAGUCUUGAGGUCGAGAGAGGUGAGUGGAAUUCCGAGUGUAGAGGUGAAAUUCGUAGAUAUUCGGAGGAACACCAGUGGCGAAGGCGGCUCACUGGCUCGAUACUGACGCUGAGGUGCGAAAAGCGUGGGGAGCAAAACAGGAUUAGAUACCCUGGUAGUCCACGCCGUAAACGAUGAAUGCCAGUCGUCGGGUAGCANNUAUGUGACACACAACGAAUAAGANAUCCGUCCGUGGGAGGUACGGUCGCGAAGAAGUAAAACUAAACAAAGAAAGUAGAGGCGUGAGACGAGCGAACGACGACGACGAGGGAGGAGG